GUCCAUGUUUGUCUAUAGCUAUCUAUUGUUUUUGUUGGGUAACUGUCUCAUUCAUGCAUUGUUUUUAUUGGGUAACUUUUUCAUUCAUACUCAACAACUUUUGUUCACACAAAAUGAAUGAAACUUAUCAUGUCAUUGCUUCCAGGAAUAAAAUAUCUUAUAAAGUAUAGGAUGACUUUUAUCUUAUGUGUGAGUCACAUACAUAGAGA
RNAcentral lists this long non-coding RNA (209 nucleotides) under Mytilus galloprovincialis (Mediterranean mussel). Lineage: Eukaryota; Metazoa; Mollusca; Bivalvia; Mytilida; Mytilidae. The record is from RNAcentral.